GAUAUUAGCCCGUUAAAUCUGUUAAACAAACUCAUGUGUUGAACACAGAAUUUGUACCUCACACAGAGGAACAGGAACACUUGAUCCUUACCAUAACGUGGAAUGAAAAAUGUAUAAUUUUAUGAUCAGUAUCAUCCCAUGCUGUUUGAACUGUAAAGUGUCCCACACAGUGAUAAUGCCGCUACCUACAAUCUUGAUCGAGUCUGUCUUAUGCCUGGGUUCAGCUUUCACAUCCAUAGUUUAGCUGACACUGUUAUGGAUAUACAUGGCUAGUAAUACUAUCUAAAUGAUGUUGUAAGUGUCUUAAGUAGCUGAGGAUGACAGAGUUAAUUUUUGAUUUCGCAGACAAUGAACCCUUUGCACUGGAUACCUGAGGGUUGUUUUUUGUUGUUUUGUUUUGUUUUGUUUUUCAGUCCUUGUUCUUGUUCCAUUCCAGUCUGCUCCUGGAAUAUGGACCAGUGGAAUAUUUACUGUGUGGAAGUAAUGAAUGAAGAUUCCCUUGACCACAUUAUUGCUCACUUAGUUGUGGAAAACUAAAAAUAAUUCUACAUAGAAAGCUACAGUUAAAAGGAAUCCAUAAAAUACCAAGAGAGGUUUACAGAAGAAUACAGAGCAAGUUAUCCUUGAAGCCAUUAAUAGGCACACAGUGGAGUGGUGAUUUUGAACAGCCAGAAUACAUUUAUCAAGGGCAAAUCAAGGCCUGGCCAAGCCAGUUUCCUUCUGCAAUGGGAUGUCUGGUCUGGUGGACAAGGGCUGAAUAGCACUUGUUGUUUACUGUGACUUUAGCAAAACCUUUGACACAGCCUCCCUUAGUAUACUGGUAACCACACUGGUGAGACAUGGGCUGGAAAAGCAAACUAUAAGUUGUAUAGAAAACAGGAAGACCUGAAGUUGUGAUCAUCAGUUCAAAACCCAGCUAGUGGCCAGCUGGUAGUGAUGUUCUUUAGAGGUCAAUACUGAAGGUGAUACUGGUUAACGUAUUCACUAAAGGUUUGGACAGUGGGCCUGGAAGUGUUCUCAGAAAGUUCAUGUAUGAUACCAAACUGAGGAAAGGAACAGUUCAUAUGCUGGAGAGCAGAAUUACUGAGGGGCUUUGAAAAGGAUGGA
This 1107-nucleotide long non-coding RNA is filed under the name Anser brachyrhynchus (Pink-footed goose). RNAcentral's name for it is "lncRNA (ENSABRG00000012141.1)". Lineage: Eukaryota; Metazoa; Chordata; Aves; Anseriformes; Anatidae. The record is from RNAcentral.